Molecule: transfer RNA, 62 nt
Filed under: Loxodonta africana (African savanna elephant)
Lineage: Eukaryota; Metazoa; Chordata; Mammalia; Proboscidea; Elephantidae
Rfam family: tRNA
About the family: Transfer RNA (tRNA) molecules are approximately 80 nucleotides in length. Their secondary structure includes four short double-helical elements and three loops (D, anti-codon, and T loops). Further hydrogen bonds mediate the characteristic L-shaped molecular structure. tRNAs have two regions of fundamental functional importance: the anti-codon, which is responsible for specific mRNA codon recognition, and the 3' end, to which the tRNAs corresponding amino acid is attached (by aminoacyl-tRNA synthetases). tRNAs cope with the degeneracy of the genetic code in two manners: having more than one tRNA (with a specific anti-codon) for a particular amino acid; and 'wobble' base-pairing, i.e. permitting non-standard base-pairing at the 3rd anti-codon position.
Source: Rfam by way of RNAcentral
UGGUGGUUCAGUGGUAGAAUUUUUGCCUUAUAUGCAGGACACCUGGGUUCGAUUCCUGGCCA